CAGUCUCUAUUACACGAACUCCCACCGCUAGCUAGCAGCACUGCACACAGCCUGGUGGGACGAACCAACGCCACUAGGCGAUAGGGGGAAGCAUUUUAUAAUAUCUGCUCCUUUUAUGCUCAGACAAGCCGCCACAUCCCACUCGAAAUACUGCGGGUUGUUAGUCCACAUAUUUCUAUUGGUAUCGGUGCUACUUAUUGUUUCACAUGUGUUCCGGAGAUAAAAUAGGGUUUUUUUUAAUUGAGGGGGGUGCAGAGUGGUUUAUGCCAGGGAGCAGCGCUGUUGCCAGGAGUUGUGAUGGUGGAAGCUGGUCGCUGGAUGGAUAGAUGUGUGUAGCUCCGAGUGGGAUUCCUUGUUCUGAGCCGGUGAGGAGGUAUCACAGCGCAGUAAAGGCUCAUUGUUACCUGAUAGCCCUCAGUUAACCCUCAGUAGUUGUCAGUGGUGCGGAGGCUGCGGCAUGGCUCCCAGGAAAGGAGAACUGACAGAGGACGAGAGGCAGCUGCUCACACACAUCUCCCAAGGGAACAUUCAGGAAACUCGGAGGCUUUUAGGAAGCAAGGAUGUCCGUGUUAACUGUUUGGAUGAGCUUUCAAAAUCGGUCGCUGAUUCCGAUAGCCAAUAAAAAAAAAAAAAUGAAAAAUUGCUCUUUAUGGCUACAAUAAAGGAAAAAUUGUGAAUUCCCCACAAAAUUCAAGAAAUUCGUGAAACGGUGAAGAAUUAGCGGAAAGAUUGUGAAAUCGGAUAGUUCACGAAAAAAUUUGGACAAUUUUCAUGAAAAAAUCUUGAAAAUGUUACAUUUUCAUGCAAAAUAGGGAAAAUCGGAAAUUGACACUGGAGAAUUUUCGUGGAAGAUUUGCAAAUUUAUUCGCCGGCAUUGGAACGCUACUGUUUGGGUGUGUCAAAACAUUGCUAUCUCCCAGAUAUCCAUCCAACAAUGUUCCACCAGAUAAAUGACUUUUUGUUGUGCUGUGAACUGUUGAUAUAAAGUUUAUAUGUGAAUUUUUCAUUGUUCUCUUCAAAGCAGUUUGAUUUUUAUUUAUUCCCAAAAAGGGAUUGCGACAUAUAAGAAACAUUUUUUGCAUGGGAGCAGAUUCCUGAUGUCCAGUAUCUAGAGCUGUAUACACUGCUGUGUGAAAUCCUUUAUGACGGCAGAGCACUGUCUCAGCUACAAGCUGUGGUUAAUGAUUUCACAAUGGUUGGGAAAGGCUUAGGCCAAUGGCACACAAGGAAAUUAGUCUUCCCCAUCGGAAGCCAACAAGAGGAAGAAUUUACCCCUUAGAGCUUAAAAUCCAAAUGAGUGUGCUAAACAGAUGUUAUCAGACUCGGCGUUGGCAGUUCUUGGCACUUGCUGUGAACUUCAGCUUUUACCCAUCCGUAUUCUCUGCUUUGUCAGAAAAAGGACUGCAGCAACUCUGAUGGAUUUCCUCGACCAAUGAGGAUUUCACAUGCACAAAAACGACUUGCUUUAUCCAACAUGAAGCUUGAAAUAAAGGAGGAUUCCAUAUAUGCUGCAACUGCAGAGGAUCCUGGCUUUUUACCACUUAUUCUUUACAUUGCAAUAGCUGGCCUGCAUUUACUAAAGAAAGACUAAUAGAUAUGAUUGGAGGAGUUCUAAUCUUUGUCAAACUGCGACUGUGUAGUAACAUAUAAAGCACUCUUUUUGCUUCUUCAAGCAGCUUCACAGUUUUCAGCAGCAUUAGAUAGAAGAGAUGGAGGUAGAGAAGCUACAGUUCAGAGAAACUGAGGUUACACUGAAGAUAAGCUAGAAUGCCUGCGUUUCAAGAACAGCAUGACUGCCAAAACGUAAUGUAAAUUUUAAUAAAUAUCACAUUUUUCGAGAUUUAUUAUACCCGGAAGCUGGAAAUAGCUAGAAUCCAAAAAUACUCCAACUAAAAUCUGUCGAGGUCAUUAAAAAUCAAAGGCAGAGGUCCCUUGAGCCGUUUGUAGCCUUUAUGAUGUUCAGUCGUUUUUUUUUGGUUGUUUUCGCUCCAAAACUCAAUCAAUUCGAGUAUUUGAAUUUUUCACCCCGACUACACUGAUUCAAGUUUUUUACAUUACAUUUCAUAAAUAAGAAAACAUUCAGCAUGGAAAUAAAUCUGCUUCCCACUGUA
Molecule: RNA transcript, 2111 nt
Organism: Xenopus laevis (African clawed frog)
Lineage: Eukaryota; Metazoa; Chordata; Amphibia; Anura; Pipidae
Gene name: ankyrin repeat and MYND domain-containing protein 2-like
Exons: 6
Source: RefSeq, a predicted model, not a curated record